AGUGAACCCUGGCGGUAGGCCUAACACAUGCAAGUCGAACGGCAGCACAGUAAGAGCUUGCUCUUACGGGUGGCGAGUGGCGGACGGGUGAGGAAUACAUCGGAAUCUACUUUUUCGUGGGGGAUAACGUAGGGAAACUUACGCUAAUACCGCAUACGACCUACGGGUGAAAGCAGGGGAUCUUCGGACCUUGCGCGAUUGAAUGAGCCGAUGUCGGAUUAGCUAGUUGGCGGGGUAAAGGCCCACCAAGGCGACGAUCCGUAGCUGGUCUGAGAGGAUGAUCAGCCACACUGGAACUGAGACACGGUCCAGACUCCUACGGGAGGCAGCAGUGGGGAAUAUUGGACAAUGGGCGCAAGCCUGAUCCAGCCAUACCGCGUGGGUGAAGAAGGCCUUCGGGUUGUAAAGCCCUUUUGUUGGGAAAGAAAAGCAGCAGGUUAAUACCCCGCUGUUCUGACGGUACCCAAAGAAUAAGCACCGGCUAACUUCG
This 490-nucleotide ribosomal RNA is filed under the name uncultured bacterium. RNAcentral describes it as "partial 16S ribosomal RNA". It matches the Rfam family "Bacterial small subunit ribosomal RNA", at positions 29 to 505 of the family's 1533-position model. The record is from RNAcentral.